Molecule: ribosomal RNA, 198 nt
Filed under: Hyperolius viridiflavus ssp. 'ngorongoro'
Lineage: Eukaryota; Metazoa; Chordata; Amphibia; Anura; Hyperoliidae
Description: partial 16S ribosomal RNA
Source: RNAcentral
UUACCAAAACCCAAAGCAUUUACCUGGUAAAAAUGACAAUUGUUUUCGGUUGGGGCGACCCUGGAGAAAAAUAAAUCCUCCAAGCUGAAUAGAUUAAAAAUCUAAUGUUAGAGUAACAACUCAAAUAAUCAAAAUCUUGACAAAAUGACCCAGAAUUUAUCUGAUCAACGAACCAAGUUACCCUGGGGAUAACAGCGC